CCCCAAUCCCCGCCCCUCUUCCUCUCAUCCAAUCCGCCGCCUUCCUCCUUCUCGCGCGCGCUGACUGAUGGCAGCAACUGGAGGGAGGGAGAGGUCGAGUAGGAGAGUGGAGGCGGGCGGCGGCGCGAAGAGUGGUGGAGGCGAGCCGCUUGAGAAGCUCGUCCACAUGCAGCGCGGACGCGGGCGCCGCCAGUCGUGUGCGUCACCAUGCCAAUAGCAGGAGAGCGGAGGCGGGCGGCGAUGCGGAGAGCGGCGGCGGCAAGCCGCGUGGAUAAGCUCGUCCACAUCCGGCGGGACUCGAGAUCUCGGGUCAACGGCGCCUCCACCGCCUCGUCCUCCCCUGCCUCUGCACCUGACGAGGAUGGCCCAGCCAGGCUGUUUGGGCGAGGAGGCAACAGCUCGGGAGGCAACGAGAGGAAUGCUUCAAUUCACCUCGAUCCGGCGACGCUAGAUCCACCCAGCCUGCGGCUCAACCUGUAGGAUUCGGUCCACAGCAAUGUCGUCCUCUCCUCCGGAAGGCCAGGCGCAGGAGGUGGCUGAGCGGGAGGGCUCCCAGCCGAGGAAGACCAAGCGACGGCGGGCGACUGGCCCAAAGAUGGCCUGGGGGCGCUCGACCCUCCGGUGUCCUUUCCCGCAACCCAGGCAGCGCGUAGGAUGCUCACAUACGUUCACUGUCGUCAUUCCCUAUCUUGAGAUCCAGAUGUAAUCCAUAUUGUUGUGGUCAUCCUCCGGCUCCAGAGCGAUGCAAGUAUUUCCAUAUGCCAAUUUCUCUUUUCUGCCUCUGAGAGCUGUGUAGUCUGCUCGGGUUACUUACCUGCAGUAUGCAUGGCAGUUGCAGCAGCUUGCCAAUUAGUAACCCACCAAAGUUUAAUUAUUUCUUCAAGCAAGUGGAUGGUUGUUUCUGCUACUGCACCUUUUCAUAUGGUUCAAAUUGUCUGCGGCAUAUUGGCCUUCUCAGGAGUUGUAGUUUUGCAUUUCCUCGCCACUCUAUAUAGCUAUUAUCACAAGAAAGUAUGCAAAAAAAAAGCAUUCCUGCUGUCAGAGCUUGCACGAAAGCGAGGACACAAAUGCAGUUCUUCUGUAAGAUGCUCAUUGCGAGUGAUGCAAGCACACAUGGAGGCUCCUCUGUGCCUUACCGUGCCACGGAGAAGAUAUCCCUGCCCUGGACACAAAUGAAAUUCUUCUGUAAGAUGCGCACUGUGAGUGACACAAGCACAAAUGGAGGCUCCUCCAUUAAGCCGCAUGAGGUUUCCAUGUCUUUUACACAAUAUAAAACUCAUUUACAGUAUCAUUUUAAUUUCGUUACUCUGUACUUCAGUACUUUCCUUUGCAGCCUCCGUGUCACGAGCACUCUUUUAAUGUAAAUAUAUGUGCAGCUCUAAAUAUACAUCACACAUGUUAAAUGGCAUUUUCAUCUUAAUAUGUGUAUUCUACGGAGUAACUGUUUUCUUUCAGUUUGUCUACUCAUCAGGUUUAAAUAGUUGGUGAGUAGUCCUAUAGAUCUUGAAUGCAUGGUUGAAACUAUUUUGCUGAGUAGCUUAUGUACCACAAUAGUUGGAAAUAGACUGCUUAGUAGUAGUCCUGUGAUUUGGUUGCUAAUUUUCUUUUCUUAUUCUUGUACAUGAAGUAGUUCAAAAACCUAUUGGUCGGUUGCCAGUUGGCGAGAAAGAGGCCCAUGGAUUCCCUUAGACGAACAUAUAUUAGAUGGCUAUCAUUAUACAAUACACCUUGAGUGCCUUCAUAACUGUCCAGAAGCUUCCUGUGCUGCUGCUGGUUUCUGUUUCUUGCCUGCUCGCCCACUACAGUGCAGAUGCUGCAGGCCUUGGAAGAUUUGGAUGGAGCACAAGUCGGGAUGCUCCUGUUCAUCUUUGGUGAGUGUGCCAGUCUGCAGCAUCCUUGGUAAUCUUAAAUUCACACGGGAGCUGAGAAGUACACUGUGUGGCGUCCUGAGCUUGUGAUGCAACCAUCUAAGCUGGGCACUUUCCGGCUUGCUCAUGGACGGCAGUCACAGGCUUGCUCGUGAUGUCCUUCUUAAAUUUUUAAGUAUAUCAGAUUGCUUCCCUGAAUGUUGAUGUAUUUUAUCAUGCCAUUGGUAUUAAUGAGUCUUCUUGGUGAGGAGAUUAUACAGUGAUAUGAAUUUAAGAUACUCCAGAUUUUCUCUUUUGCUAACUUAGUUUUUAAAGUGUUGACUGCUUGCUGUCCAUUCAUGUUCCAUUAUGAGUGAGGUUAUUACAAAUAGAUGGGAAAAUGGCUAUUUUUGUAAUUAUAAAAUAUGGAAAGAAAAUAUGCGGUCAACCUAGGUUGUAUUAACAUAUAUAUAUAUUCUAAAAUACAACUCUAUUUUUUUUCUAGAGGAAGGUCAUUCUUGGACAUGACCAGACAACCUCUUAUGUUGAAUAACCCUGAACCUAUCCAGAAAAUUCCAUCUGGUCACCACUACAAUGCUUUGUCUUGUACCAAGCAGGAUUCGUUUUUGUACAUCAUGUAUGCUUUCUAUGACGUGUUUCCUACUUAUGUAAUUACGUUAUAUGAUGCAUGACAUGGUGAUCCCCAUCAGUGACGUGCAAAUCUAUCUGUACGCAGUUCAGAGCAGAGACACAUCAUCCUGCUGCUCAAGGGCUCAUCUAAUUAGAUGCUUUUACAUCUGCUAUGAAUUUUGAAUUAAUAGGCAGAGUGAAUUUCGAUUUUUUAUUAGAAACUCUGAUUUCCAAAUAUAGAUGUUUUUCUGCAUCUUCUUCACCAGGUUUAAAUGAAUUUAUGGAUCUUGUGUAAUCAUCUCACUGAAAUGAGGGAAUAUGAAAGGUGUGUGUGAUCAGUAGACUUCUCACUUGCAGAUCCAGCCAAAUUGGUUAGGGGGAGUGCUGAUGGUUCAGGUAAUUCUAUUCUUACACUUUUUGUGUAUCAGCUUUUGAAUUGCGAUAAUGUGGUUAUUGAGCUUGCAUGUGAUGGCGGUAAGUUUGUCCUACAUUGCAAUAGCAUUUUCCUAUGCACUCUGCAGGCUGGGAGUGUUGGCACUGUCAAAGCAAGGUUAAAUAUCUGCUCUGUGCAAUUUCUAUCUGAUUGCGCUCGCUCCAUUGCAAUUGGCUCAACAGAUCACAAGAUUACUGCUAUGAUCUUCGCAACAUACAAGCCUCUUAUUGUACCUUAGUGGGACACACAAAAACUGUGAGCUACGUAAAAUAUUUAGACGCAUCAACCAUAGUAUCUGGUUCCGUUGCCAACUCGUUGAAGCUUUGGAACGUCAAACAAGGGUAGUUGACAGUCCACGUCAGACAUUUACAGGGCAUGCAAAUACACAGGUUUGAUGUCCGGUUCAGUCUUUUUUUUUGACUCUUCUCAAGAUAUUGUUCUAAAGGUGGUUAUUAUCACUAUUUUUUGUUUGAUAUAUC
Molecule: non-coding RNA, 3389 nt
Organism: Lolium perenne
Lineage: Eukaryota; Viridiplantae; Streptophyta; Magnoliopsida; Poales; Poaceae
Source: RefSeq, a predicted model, not a curated record